Molecule: ribosomal RNA, 630 nt
Filed under: uncultured Ureaplasma sp.
Lineage: Bacteria; Bacillati; Mycoplasmatota; Mycoplasmoidales; Mycoplasmoidaceae
Description: bacterial SSU rRNA
Rfam family: Bacterial small subunit ribosomal RNA
Source: RNAcentral
GACGUAUCAGAUAGUUGGUGAGGUAACGGCUCACCAAGUCAUGACGCGUAGCUGUACUGAGAGGUAGAACAGCCACAAUGGGACUGAGACACGGCCCAUACUUCUACGGGAGGCAGCAGUAGGGAAUUUUUCACAAUGGGCGAAAGCCUUAUGAAGCAAUGCCGCGUGAACGAUGAAGGUCUAUAAGAUUGUAAAGUUCUUUUAUUUGGGAAGAACCACUAAAAUAGGAAAUGAUUUUAGUUUGACUGUACCAUUUGAAUAAGUAUCGGCUAACUAUGUGCCAGCAGCCGCGGUAAUACAUAGGAUGCAAGCGUUAUCCGGAUUUACUGGGCGUAAAACGAGCGCAGGCGGAUUUGUAAGUUUGGUAUGAAAUCUAGAUGCUUAACGUCUAGCUGUAUCAAAAACUACGAAUCUAGAGUGUAGCAGAGAGUUGGGGAACUCCAUGUGGAGCGGUAAAAUGCGUAGAUAUAUGGAAGAACACCGGUGGCGAAGGCGCCAACUUGGACUAUUACUGACGCUUAGGCUCGAAAGUGUGGGGAGCAAAUAGGAUUAGAUACCCUAGUAGUCCACACCGUAAACGAUCAUCAUUAAAUGUCGGCUCGCUUAUGAGUCGGUGUUGUAGCUAACGCA